This 800-nucleotide ribosomal RNA is filed under the name Bacillus sp. CO60. RNAcentral describes it as "bacterial SSU rRNA". It matches the Rfam family "Bacterial small subunit ribosomal RNA", at positions 375 to 1166 of the family's 1533-position model. Lineage: Bacteria; Bacillati; Bacillota; Bacilli; Caryophanales; Bacillaceae. The record is from RNAcentral.
ACGAAAGUCUGACGGAGCAACGCCGCGUGAGUGACGAAGGCCUUCGGGUCGUAAAGUUCUGUUGUUAGGGAAGAACAAGUACCGUUCGAAUAGGGCGGUACCUUGACGGUACCUAACCAGAAAGCCACGGCUAACUACGUGCCAGCAGCCGCGGUAAUACGUAGGUGGCAAGCGUUGUCCGGAAUUAUUGGGCGUAAAGCGCGCGCAGGCGGUCUCUUAAGUCUGAUGUGAAAGCCCACGGCUCAACCGUGGAGGGCCAUUGGAAACUGGGGGACUUGAGUGCAGAAGAGGAGAGUGGAAUUCCACGUGUAGCGGUGAAAUGCGUAGAUAUGUGGAGGAACACCAGUGGCGAAGGCGGCUCUCUGGUCUGUAACUGACGCUGAGGCGCGAAAGCGUGGGGAGCAAACAGGAUUAGAUACCCUGGUAGUCCACGCCGUAAACGAUGAGUGCUAGGUGUUGGGGGGUUCCACCCUCAGUGCUGAAGUUAACACAUUAAGCACUCCGCCUGGGGAGUACGACCGCAAGGUUGAAACUCAAAGGAAUUGACGGGGGCCCGCACAAGCAGUGGAGCAUGUGGUUUAAUUCGAAGCAACGCGAAGAACCUUACCAGGUCUUGACAUCCUCUGCCACUCCUAGAGAUAGGACGUUCCCCUUCGGGGGACAGAGUGACAGGUGGUGCAUGGUUGUCGUCAGCUCGUGUCGUGAGAUGUUGGGUUAAGUCCCCGCAACGAGCGCAACCCUUGAUCUUAGUUGCCAGCAUUCAGUUGGGCACUCUAAGGUGACUGCCGGUGACAAACCGG